Molecule: long non-coding RNA, 921 nt
Filed under: Nicotiana tabacum (common tobacco)
Lineage: Eukaryota; Viridiplantae; Streptophyta; Magnoliopsida; Solanales; Solanaceae
Description: long non-coding RNA (NTAB_LNC010037)
Source: RNAcentral
UAUGCAAAUACUAUGUGUAGCUUUUAGGUUAUUCUAGAUUAUAUUAGACUUUAAACGUGUCUCUCAAUCAUAUAGCCACCGCAUUUACUCUCCAAGACAAUCUCUUUGCAUUUGCUUCAUCUUUCUUUCUCUCCUCAAAAGCUUUGCCUACUCAUCGUCUUCUUCUUCAAUUUCUAUUUCUCAGUCUUUCAUCUUCAGGUACUGAGUUGUGCUGAAAUCUAUAUGUCGGAGAAGCAAUAGUCGAAUAGAAAUUUUCUUUUCAUUAUUUUAUAAGUUUAGAUGGAAAGCUAAUUCUAUUAAUGGGUGAAUUUUAUGAUUGUAACCUAGGAUUCUAAGUUGGGGAUUUUAUGAUUGUUUUAAUAUUUGUUAUUAUGUGGUUGUAAUAGUUGUAGCUUUUCAUACGGAAUCAAAGGAGUUCAACUUCUAAUGAAUAUGUUCUCUAUUUUCUGGAUGCCAAUGCAUUUUCUUUUUUGGAUCUGUUGUCUCUGAAAUUCAAAGUAAGCAUCAUUCUCCCUUCUUUUGCAGGUUUUACUUUUCCGUCUUCAAUUAUUCUUCCUUUUCUUGGAAUAGGAAUAAAAAAUGGCUAGCAUCUUCAACAUCAACAAUCCAGUGGUUGAUUGCUGAAUGCAAGAUGUGUCAAGAUGAAGAAUAGGACUAAAAUUUGAAAACUUUUUUGUCUUGUGCAAGGUUUUAAGAGACUUACUAUUAUGGUCUCAUUUUUUUAAUGUAUAAUAUGCUAUCAAUUGGUGUUUUGGUUUUUCGUUUGGAAUUGAAGCCAAUAUGUGUCACAAUUCGGAUUUUUCACCGUCGGGACCGUGAUGGCGCCUAACAUCGCACUCGCUAGGCAAGCCAACGUUAGAGUUAUAAUCACAUUUUUCCUUUACAUUUGCAUAGUUAAGAUUAACAAAAGCUAAUUCAAAC